Molecule: long non-coding RNA, 1001 nt
Organism: Juglans regia (Persian walnut)
Lineage: Eukaryota; Viridiplantae; Streptophyta; Magnoliopsida; Fagales; Juglandaceae
Exons: 3
Source: RefSeq, a predicted model, not a curated record
CAUCCAAUUUGCACACACACGUGUCAUCCAAUUUCCACCCCCUCCCCACUCCAAACUGAAGAAGCUACUUUCAUUUUGAAUUUUCAUCAUUUUCGUGCGUUUCGUUCCUCUCCCCCAACCCCCCGCAUUUCCUCCCUCCCUGUUUCUUUCCUUUUUCUUCCCCCACCCCCCGUACUCCUCUGCCCUAAGCAUUUCCCAAGAAGCCCUGCACUGAGAUUUUGAGUUUCUCCCCCGAAGCCCCGAGCUCAUCUGUUGUGCAAUUUCGAGUUCGCAAAUGAUUUCUUCUUCUUUGAGACUUCUUCUUCUUCUUGUUGUUCUUCUUCUCUAAGAUUUUUUCUUCUUCUCUAAGGUUUCUUCUUCUUCUUCUUCUCUGCGAGUUCGAACACACAGAUUGAAGCCCUCAAUCCACCGACGCGAAGCCCUCAGAUCUGCGAGAGGGGGUUUUGUCAUAUAUAUACAUGAAAUCUGGUCGAGUUUUCAAGCUUGCCCUAACUGGGUUUUGCUCUCGUCGCAGAGAUAUGCGGAAGGGAUCAGCGUGCUUCAUUUGCGCCACUGUAAAGAUGGUUUUUCUCUCGUCGCAGAGAUCUGCGUGCUUGUUUCUUGCCAUGGGAGAAGCGAAAUGCGAAUUUUUUGUUUGGCCGGAUAUACUUCACAAACUAGAAGAGAGCAUUUGUACAAGAGAGAAUAAAGUUUGGAAGAUGUGGGAUGAUGUAUUGUUGUGCGAGUAUGAAGUUCGAGAAAUGGAAGAUAAAGUACGAGAGAGAGAGAGAGAGAGAGAGAGAGAGAGAGAGAGACAACUCUUCAGAAGGAAAAGCGAAAAUUAUUGUAUUUAUACUGAAUUGUCACAUUUGUAAUAGUUUUGGCUUGAUUCAAAUAAAUAGUAUGUAAAUAGCACGUUGUAUGGAGUAUAUGAAAUUUUUUGAAUGCACCAAUUGUAAUGGUACUUCUCAAGUUGUGACCUUUGUAAUGACCUUUCAAUGAAAAGUUGUGUAUUGAAAACA